CGGACNGGGGUCUGNAACCCGACCCCACGAAGCUGGAUUCGCUAGUAAUCGCGCAUCAGCCAUGGCGCGGUGAAUACGUUCCCGGGCCUUGUACACACCGCCCGUCAAGCCAUGAAAGCCGGGGGCGCCUGAAGUCCGUGACCGCGAGGGUCGGCCUAGGGUGAAACCGGUGAUUGGGGCUAAGUCGUAACAAGGUAAC
This 199-nucleotide ribosomal RNA is filed under the name uncultured bacterium. RNAcentral describes it as "partial 16S ribosomal RNA". It matches the Rfam family "Bacterial small subunit ribosomal RNA", at positions 1294 to 1500 of the family's 1533-position model. The record is from RNAcentral.